UUCCUGAUCUUCAGUGAAAACGAGACGGA
This 29-nucleotide small RNA is filed under the name Bombyx mori (domestic silkworm). RNAcentral's name for it is "ovarian small RNA-9633". Lineage: Eukaryota; Metazoa; Arthropoda; Insecta; Lepidoptera; Bombycidae. The record is from RNAcentral.